GUGAAGGGGCGGCUGAGCCCCCCCGGGAGUUACGCUGUAGCGACUGCAUCGUGUGGAACCGGCAGCAGACGUGGCUGUGCGUGGUGCCUCUGUUCAUCGGCUUCAUCGGUCUGGGGCUCAGCCUUAUGCUGCUCAAAUGGAUCGUGGUGGGCUCCGUCAAGGAGUACGUGCCCACCGACCUGGUGGACUCCAAGGGGAUGGGCCAGGACCCUUUCUUCCUCUCCAAGCCCAUCCUGCCACUCCCUCAGCCGGCGGCAGUGGCGCCGCCGCCUCCUCCAGGACGCCCAACCGGAUUAGCACGCGCCUGACCACCAUUACGCGGGCGCCCACUCGCUUCCCGGGCCACCGGGUGCCUAUCCGGGCCAGCCCGCGCUCCACCACGGCCCGGAACACUGGGGCGCCCCCGACGGUCCAGUCCACCACCACGGCCCCCUUCUUCAGUAGCAGCACUCUGGGCUCGCGACCCCCAGCGCCAGGAAGCCCCAGUACCCAGGCGAUGCCCUCCUGGCCCACUGCGGCAUAUGCUACCUCCUCCUACCUUCACGAUUCUACUCCCUCCUGGACUCUGUCUCCCUUUCAGGAUGCUGCCGCCUCCUUUUCCUCCUCCUCCACCGCCACACCAGAAACUAGCACCAGCCCCAAAUUUCUGACCCACAGAGAGGACUCAGUCUAUCUAUGGCACUGAAAGGACCAAACCUGGCUUCAGGGACGUCCUUCAAACGACAUUCUCCACGGGACAGACCCACCCUGCCCACAACUGUGCUCCCACCUACCCGACUGCAGUCCUCUACGGCAAUACGGACACAUGAGCGACAAAGCCCUGACUCACCCUGAAUGUGAAAAGCCUGCAUGUGUCGGAAAUAGUUCUUUAUGAUCAUGCUCUAAAAGAUGUUAAAUACAAUCUGAUAUUU
This 911-nucleotide long non-coding RNA is filed under the name Fukomys damarensis (Damara mole-rat). RNAcentral describes it as "lncRNA (ENSFDAG00000027264.1)". The record is from RNAcentral. Lineage: Eukaryota; Metazoa; Chordata; Mammalia; Rodentia; Bathyergidae.